UAGUAUCUAUGGUCGAAGUAUCCUGUCUAAUUUAAUUUUCGCGUUUUAUCUUUCCGGUUUUUCCGUACUGGUUAUCUCACAGCCCACGGCAGAGUGCUUUGUCUUGCUAUAAGAUCUUUGGUUUAGGUGGUUUCUUUGAUUCUUUCAGUGUGUGUGUGUGUAGGCAGGUGCAACGUCAUAGUUUAGCGGAAUUUUCUGUGUGACAUUCUCCAGGUAGAGAUUCCAAAAUGAUGAUGCUUACUAUAAACUGAAUACACAUCCAUGAAUGAAUACAGAUGAAGGAAGUUUCAAGACUGUAGUACUAAAGCAAUGGACCAGGAGCCAGCUAUGUGGAUAAAAAAAGAGGGAACGGCCGAAGUGAAAACAGAGUUAUACUUCAUGGCCCAAGUUUACCCACACAACAUGAAUAUAAAAGAAGAGUUGGAGGAGGGUGUGAAUAAAGAGUCCAUUGAAGAUCCAUUGGGAAUAUCGUGGUCCACUGAUUUUAUCAAGGAGGAUCCUGAAUUAAAUUUGGAAAUGAGUGUAACUGAGAAUAUUGUGGAAACCUCAACAGGAUAUGCAUCUGAUAGUACAAGGAAAAUAAAAGUUCAGAUGAUAUGUCAGCAGCUGUGGUGUGCUUAAUGCACAUCACCACAUGAAAAUCACUGAAAUUCAACCGAUUCAUCUUGAUGGACACAAGCUAAUGUCAUACUGCAGUAGAACAAGUAAGAAGAAAGGAUUGACUCAGUGUGCUGGUGGGUGCUGUGACAUACCAUGUGAAGAAACUAGUCGCCAUAGAGUGGUCCAGGAUGAGUUGGUGAUAGACAUGAAGUCAACACAUGAGUUUGGUACCAAUACAAAAGAUAUGACUGUUGAUAAGAACUGCUCAGUUGCCACACAAUAUAACUGUAGUACGAGGGAAAAGGAAUUAUAUGUAUAUAGCUGUAA
RNAcentral lists this unclassified non-coding RNA (927 nucleotides) under Schistocerca americana (American grasshopper). Its description in RNAcentral is "zinc finger protein 729-like, transcript variant X7". Lineage: Eukaryota; Metazoa; Arthropoda; Insecta; Orthoptera; Acrididae. The record is from RNAcentral.